RNAcentral lists this ribosomal RNA (344 nucleotides) under uncultured bacterium. Its description in RNAcentral is "bacterial SSU rRNA". It matches the Rfam family "Bacterial small subunit ribosomal RNA", at positions 8 to 334 of the family's 1533-position model. The record is from RNAcentral.
AGAGUUUGAUUCUGGCUCAGGAUGAACGCUGGCGGCGUGCUUAACACAUGCAAGUCGAACGAAGCACUUCAAUCGAUUUCUUCGGAAUGAAGUUUUAGUGACUGAGUGGCGGACGGGUGAGUAACGCGUGGGUAACCUGCCUCACACAGGGGGAUAACAGUUGGAAACGGCUGCUAAUACCGCAUAAGCGCACAGUACCGCAUGGCACAGUGUGAAAAACUCCGGUGGUACAAGAUGGACCCGCGUCUGAUUAGCUGGUUGGUGAGGUAACGGCCCACCAAGGCGACGAUCAGUAGCCGGCCUGAGAGGGUGAACGGCCACAUUGGGACUGAGACACGGCCCAA